RNAcentral lists this ribosomal RNA (333 nucleotides) under Hesperagrion heterodoxum. RNAcentral's name for it is "partial 12S ribosomal RNA". Lineage: Eukaryota; Metazoa; Arthropoda; Insecta; Odonata; Coenagrionidae. The record is from RNAcentral.
AAAAAUUAAUUAAUUAAUUUUACUUACAAAUCCACCUUUAAUUUAAUUACAAAAGAAAAUAUCCAUUUAAAUAAAUUUAUUGUAACCCAUUUCUACUUAUACAUAAGCUUCACCUUGACCUGACAUUCAUGCAUUGAACAAUUAAGAAAAUUUUUUUACUAAAAUAAUAUUCUUAUGACGGAGAUAUAAAAACUGAAAACAAAUAUAAGUAAGUUAAAUCGUGGACUAUCGAUUAAAGAACAGGUUCCUCUGAAAAGACUAAAAUACCGCCAAAUUCUUUGGGUUUCAAGAAUUUAACUAAUACUACCCAAGUAAAAAAAAUUAACAUUUAGU